UUGGAUUUUAGUGAGAUUUCAGAAAUAGGUCGGGUUAGAAAUAACUCUUGUACUUGUUUCAUCUUACUUGAUUUACUGGUUACUCGACUCUGUUCUUUAUUGAAUGGAGUAGUAUCGCAAGGUAUCAUUAGAAGUUAAAUUGCCUGUAGAGGUAGAGUUAGGGUAAAACUUGAUUUGAAAACUAUGGGAUUACAGUUUAAUUUUUAAUGGGGUUCCAGUUCAUUUACUUUGAGUAAAUUAGAGUGUUCAAAGCAGCCUCUUGGGGCAUUGAAUAUUAUUAGCAUGGGAUAAUAAAAUAGGAUUUCUCUUAUAUUUUAUUGGUAGUAUAUUUAAGUUGAAAUAAUGAUUAAUAGGGAUAGUUGGGGGCACUUGUAUUCAAUAGUCAGAGGUGAAAUUCUAGGAUUUAUUGAAGACAAACUUCAGCGAAAGCAUUUGUCCAAGGAUGUUUUCAUUAAU
Molecule: ribosomal RNA, 456 nt
Filed under: uncultured eukaryote
Lineage: Eukaryota
Description: partial 18S ribosomal RNA
Rfam family: Eukaryotic small subunit ribosomal RNA (bases 209-453)
Source: RNAcentral